GAUGAAGAACGUAGCUAAACGCGAUAUGUAAUGUGAAUUGCAGAAUUCAGUGAAUCAUCGAAUCUUUGAACGCACAUGGCGCCUUCCAGUAUCCUGGGAGGCAUGCCUGUCCGAGCGUCGUUUCAACCCUCGAGCCCCCGUGGCCCGGCGUUGGGGAUCUGCCCAGGCAGUCCCCGAAAACCAGUGGCGGACCCGUUACAGGCCCUUCCCUUGCGUAGUAGCAUUCGCCUCGCAUCGGGAGCCGGCGGGCUUCCAGCCUCUAAACCCCCAUCAAGUCCGCCCCGGCGGCACCAAGGUUGACCUCGGAUCAGGUAGGAAUACCCGCUGAACUUAAGCAUAUCAAUAAGCGGAGGA
This 354-nucleotide unclassified non-coding RNA is filed under the name soil metagenome. RNAcentral's name for it is "partial contains 5.8S ribosomal RNA, internal transcribed spacer 2, and large subunit ribosomal RNA". The stretch from base 1 to 120 matches the Rfam family "5.8S ribosomal RNA", at positions 35 to 154 of the family's 154-position model. The record is from RNAcentral.